Molecule: ribosomal RNA, 253 nt
Filed under: uncultured bacterium
Lineage: Bacteria
Description: partial 16S ribosomal RNA
Rfam family: Bacterial small subunit ribosomal RNA
Source: RNAcentral
UACGUAGGGUGCGAGCGUUGUCCGGAAUUAUUGGGCGUAAAGGGCUCGUAGGCGGUUUGUCGCGUCGGGCGUGAAAACCCAGGGCUUAACCCUGGGCUGGCUUCCGAUACGGGCAGACUAGAGGUAUGCAGGGGAGAACGGAAUUCCUGGUGUAGCGGUGAAAUGCGCAGAUAUCAGGAGGAACACCGGUGGCGAAGGCGGUUCUCUGGGCAUUACCUGACGCUGAGGAGCGAAAGUGUGGGGAGCGAACAGG